GACGAACGCUGGCGGCGUGCGUAACACAUGCAAGUCGAACGGUAAGGCCCUUCGGGGUACACGAGUGGCGAACGGGUGAGUAACACGUGGGUGAUCUGCCCUGCACUUCGGGAUAAGCCUGGGAAACUGGGUCUAAUACCGGAUAGGACCACUGCCUGCAUGGGUGGUGGUGGAAAGCUUUUGCGGUGUGGGAUGGGCCCGCGGCCUAUCAGCUUGUUGGUGGGGUGAUGGCCUACCAAGGCGACGACGGGUAGCCGGCCUGAGAGGGUAACCGGCCACACUGGGACAGAGAUAAGGCCAGACUCCUACGGGAGGCAGCGGUGGGGAAUAUUGCACAAUGGGCGCAAGCCUGAUGCAGCGACGCCGCGUGAGGGAUGACGGCCUUCGGGUUGUAAGCCUCUUUCAGCACCGACGAAGCGCAAGUGACGGUAGGUGCAGAAGAAGGACCGGCCAACUACGUGCCAGCAGCCGCGGUAA
RNAcentral lists this ribosomal RNA (477 nucleotides) under uncultured bacterium. RNAcentral describes it as "partial 16S ribosomal RNA". It matches the Rfam family "Bacterial small subunit ribosomal RNA", at positions 28 to 523 of the family's 1533-position model. The record is from RNAcentral.